This 578-nucleotide ribosomal RNA is filed under the name Filobasidium uniguttulatum. Its description in RNAcentral is "partial large subunit ribosomal RNA". It matches the Rfam family "Eukaryotic large subunit ribosomal RNA", at positions 81 to 648 of the family's 3401-position model. The record is from RNAcentral. Lineage: Eukaryota; Fungi; Basidiomycota; Tremellomycetes; Filobasidiales; Filobasidiaceae.
UAGUACGGCGAGCGAAGCGGGAAGAGCUCAAAUUUGAAAUCUGGUGGCCUCAGGUCAUCCGAGUUGUAAUCUAUAGAAGUGUUUUCCGUGCUGGCCCAUGUACAAGUCCCUUGGAACAGGGCGUCAUAGAGGGUGAGAAUCCCGUCCUUGACAUGGACUACCAGUGCUCUGUGAUACACUUUCAACGAGUCGAGUUGUUUGGGAAUGCAGCUCAAAAUGGGUGGUAAAUUCCAUCUAAAGCUAAAUAUUGGCGAGAGACCGAUAGCGAACAAGUACCGUGAGGGAAAGAUGAAAAGCACUUUGGAAAGAGAGUUAAACAGUAUGUGAAAUUGUUGAAAGGGAAACGAUUGAAGUCAGUCGUGCUCAAUGGACUCAGCCGUUCUGCGGUGUAUUUCCAUUGGGUGGGGUCAACAUCAGUUUUGAUCGCUGGAUAAAGGCAGGAGGAAUGUAGCACCCCCGGGUGAACUUAUAGCCUCUUGUCACAUACAGUGGUUGGGACUGAGGAACGCAGCAUGCCUUUAUGGCCGGGAUUCGUCCACGUACAUGCUUAGGAUGUUGACAUAAUGGCUUUAAACGAC